Molecule: long non-coding RNA, 690 nt
Organism: Lycium ferocissimum
Lineage: Eukaryota; Viridiplantae; Streptophyta; Magnoliopsida; Solanales; Solanaceae
Exons: 4
Source: RefSeq, a predicted model, not a curated record
AAAGAGCCGAUCCCUCACCUUCCAUACCCCCCUCCCCCCGCCCCACUCAAAAACUUCCACCGCUUGAAAAAUUCUCUCUCUCCCAACGUUACAACCUCUCAACUUCCCUCCCACUACAAUAAAACUCUCUCUUAACCCACUCUAGUUGCACACACUCCUAAACACACAAAACCUUCCACAACAACAGAGGGGAAAAAUCUCUAACAAGGAGGGUUUCUCAUUCUCUGCGCAAUCUUUUCCGAAUCAUCAAAUCAAGAUGCGGGAUCACUGGGUCAGAAAAUUCUCUUUUGAUCCCUUCUUUUCCCAAUUCGAACCUCAUUUCCCCAAAUUCUAGACCUAAAUAGCUCGGUAGAAAGGGAUUUUGAAGGGUUUCUCAAGGAUACUCAUUGGGACUUUGCUCAUUCGGAGGCGAUUCAAAAGGGAAAGACUCAAGUUGGAUAGUUCAUGGCUCCUGUUCGGCACUGAGGCAGAGUUUGUCACCGUUUCCAGUUCGCGACCUCGCAAGUGAAUCCAAGGCCACUUCCAGGAGAUCUCGAGGGUGACCACUUGCCGGAUCUGCAGCCCCGGAUCCCCUCCCUGCUUAUCUGUCUAUCUUCUUUUACUCGGACAGACUUAUUACGUAUUUUGAGGCUUGGACUAGUAUUUCAAACAUUGUUUUUGUAUUAGAAGCUCUUGUACGAGUUCAAACCA